RNAcentral lists this microRNA (22 nucleotides) under Ciona intestinalis (vase tunicate). Its description in RNAcentral is "cin-miR-4000h-3p". Lineage: Eukaryota; Metazoa; Chordata; Ascidiacea; Phlebobranchia; Cionidae. The record is from miRBase by way of RNAcentral.
GCCGUUCUUUGCAAGUUUUGUU